This 108-nucleotide ribosomal RNA is filed under the name Castor canadensis (American beaver). Lineage: Eukaryota; Metazoa; Chordata; Mammalia; Rodentia; Castoridae. The record is from RNAcentral.
AUCUACGGCCACACCACUCUGAAUAUGACCUAUCUUGUCUGACCUCAGAAGCUAAGCAGGAUUGGACCUGGUUAGUACUUGGAUGGGAAGAAACUCAAGCACCCUAUC